This 164-nucleotide ribosomal RNA is filed under the name uncultured bacterium. RNAcentral's name for it is "partial 16S rRNA". It matches the Rfam family "Bacterial small subunit ribosomal RNA", at positions 355 to 511 of the family's 1533-position model. The record is from RNAcentral.
UAGGGAAUCUUCCACAAUGGACGCAAGUCUGAUGGAGCAACGCCCCGUGAGUGAAGAAGGUUUUCGGAUCGUAAAGCUCUGUUGUUGGUGAAGAAGGAUAGAGGCAGUAACUGGUCUUUAUUUGACGGUAAUCAACCAGAAAGUCACGGCUAACUACGUGCCAG